GACGAACGCUGGCGGCGUGCUUAACACAUGCAAGUCGAACGGAAAGGCCCUGCUUUUGCGGGGUGCUCGAGUGGCGAACGGGUGAGUAACACGUGAGUAACCUGCCCUUGACUUUGUGAUAUCUUCAGGAAACUCGGGUUAAUACCGGAUAGGAGCUCCUGCUGCAUGGUGGGGGUUGGAAAGAUUCGGCGGUUGGGGAUGGACUCGCGGCUUAUCAGCUUGUUGGUCGGGUAGUGGCUUACCAAGGCUUUGACGGGUAGCCGGCCUGAGAGGGUGACCGGCCACAUUGGGACUGAGAUACGGACCAGACUCGUACGUGAGGCAGCAGUGGGGAAUAUUGCACAAUGGGCGGAAGCCUGAUGCAGCAACGCCGCGAGCGGGAGGACGGCCUUCGGGUUGUAAACCGCUUUCGCCUGUGACGAAGCGUGAGUGACGGUAAUGGGUAAAGAAGCACCGGCUAACUACGUG
RNAcentral lists this ribosomal RNA (468 nucleotides) under uncultured bacterium. Its description in RNAcentral is "partial 16S ribosomal RNA". It matches the Rfam family "Bacterial small subunit ribosomal RNA", at positions 28 to 507 of the family's 1533-position model. The record is from RNAcentral.